Molecule: long non-coding RNA, 972 nt
Organism: Onychostoma macrolepis
Lineage: Eukaryota; Metazoa; Chordata; Actinopteri; Cypriniformes; Cyprinidae
Exons: 4
Source: RefSeq, a predicted model, not a curated record
AAUGCUCAUUUUUCCAGUUUUCUGUACACUUUAUUUCAAUCCAUCUAGUUAUUUAGCAGAUGCUUUUUUUCAAAGCAAUCCAAUCCCAACCAUUGAGAAUAAGGGACUGAGUGUCUUGCUUGAGGUCACUUUGACAUAUAGCCAGAAUACACCAGCAAUCUUUUGACUCUCAGACCAUUUCUCUACCCCUGAGCCACUGUCCCUCUACAAGAAUACCAAAGUGCAUUUAUCUGUGCUAUAAACCAUUACAAUAAUAAAUUAAAAUAAUAUGAUAAGAUGUUAUGAUCAGAUGCAAGUUGGCAUUUGUAUUGCGAUGCAUCAUUUCUAACAUAUUUGCAUCUGCAAAAAACUAUUUAUUUAUAUAUAAUUACUAGUUGAUUCGCUAUACUUUUAUUGUUUAGGGAGUGACCAAUAAUCUGUGACCAAUAUUUUAUAUGUAGAUUGAGUUCUCCUCUCUAAACUGUUUCUCAAGCGCCUUCUCUCAUCACUGCUGCUGUGUGAAUAUGACGCAUCACAAGAACACAGAGACCCGAAGAAAAGCGGAGAUUAAAGUCCUUAAUGUCGAUCACGGAUCAAAUCGAUCCAGCGAAUAUAUCCGUGCUGUUUAAUGCAUUUGAGACUGUCAACUGACAAAUCACAGCAACUUCCCCUGAAAAUUAGUUGGCAACACUGCACGCUGGCUGUUGAGUGAACGUGCUCAGGAAAGUUGGACCAGGCGCCGGAUCAGAGCCGUGAGUCCCAUUGACUGACAGACUGCAACGGUUUGAGUUAAAAAAUCUUUGUUUGUGUUCUACUGAAGAAACAAAGUCACCUACAUCGUGGAUGCCCCGGGGCCCAAGUUGUUAUUGGAGUCCUAGCUGUGAGUUUCAUGUCGUUUUCCAAAAAGUGAGUUAAAACCAUCUAUUGUUGUAAUCUGGCACGUCCACUCCCACCUACCUCUAAAGAUGUCAAGUACUUCCCAUCACUGUCCUU